Molecule: ribosomal RNA, 213 nt
Filed under: uncultured bacterium
Lineage: Bacteria
Description: partial 16S ribosomal RNA
Rfam family: Bacterial small subunit ribosomal RNA
Source: RNAcentral
UACGGGGGGAGCAAGCGUUGUUCGGAUUUACUGGGCGUAAAGGGCGCGUAGGCGGCCAGCACAAGUCAGUUGUGAAAUCUCCGGGCUUAACUCGGAAAGGUCAACUGAUACUGUGCGGCUAGAGUGCAGAAGGGGCAACUGGAAUUCUCGGUGUAGCGGUGAAAUGCGUAGAUAUCGAGAGGAACACCUGCGGCGAAGGCGGGUCGUCUGGGC